GCCCUCUUAGCUCAGUGGUAGAGCGUGUCACUCGUACGGAAAUUCAACAUGAAAAUCCAUGACAAGGUCAGUCGUUCAAGUCGGCUAGGGGGCA
Non-coding RNA from Desarmillaria ectypa, 94 nucleotides. Lineage: Eukaryota; Fungi; Basidiomycota; Agaricomycetes; Agaricales; Physalacriaceae. The record is from the annotation of a GenBank genome assembly.